CAAGCGUUAGGGCUGCUGCGUUUGAAAAAAUCGGUGUAAUACAAUUCUGCUUCUCCUGGUAGGGAUCCCUUUACAGAAGGGAUCAUCAUAACAGUCUUGCAUCAGUGAGGAUCAUUUGAAGGAGAAAAGUUGAAUAAGGCAUGAACAACCUUUUCAGUAGGAGGAUGAAGAUUGUGUUUGUGGUUGUAUGGACACAAUUUACAAAAAGGUCUCAUUGAAGUCAACAUCCCAAGGUCAUCUGCCUCAACAUGGAAAUCUCAAUCAGAACGUGACUCUGGUGAUCAUGACAGUCCUCCGUUUAUUUAACCUUUAUCACCACGGCGACAAAAUGAGAGACACUCGUUUUGACACAGGAGGCACACGGGAUGACAUGUGCAACCACGACAACUUCUGUAAACAUGCUGCCAAAACCCGAAGAGGAGAGUGCCACAUUAAAAAGCCGACAGAGCAGUUGGUGGCCUGGCAUCAUGUCAUCUUGUGAAAAUUGGCGUUUGAACGGGACUUUACUGGCCAGGCCCUGUCAGUCCCGGGAUCAGACGGAGAGACAGGGUGCUAAUGGGAGUGGAUGCACUGCUAGCCCACCGUCUUAUCACUGCUGCCAUCUGUGACCCGAGCCGCAGCCUAUUUUCAAAGCCGGCCCAUCCGUUUUCAACUCGUGUCACGCGUUUGUGUGCAUCCUGGCUGCUGUGGGUGGGCACCCGUUUUAUAACUGUGCAUCUUAGCUAAUUUCAGUAAUGUGGUUUUGUGCCCAUUGCCUGACAGUUUAAUGGGCCUUAUUUAUGCCACCCUUUCUCAUAAAACGGCAGCGGAAGUUGCAGUGCACAGAAAAACAGGGAUAUGAAUGGGACCACACUUUGCUAUAUGAUAUCUAUUGUUUUAAUUAAGUGAAAGCAGUUUUGACAUUUAUUGGAUUCCAAGUUACUUGUUAAUGACACCAGGAAGCAUGGUAG
This is a long non-coding RNA of Clupea harengus (Atlantic herring), 950 nucleotides long. The record is from Ensembl. Lineage: Eukaryota; Metazoa; Chordata; Actinopteri; Clupeiformes; Clupeidae.